Molecule: ribosomal RNA, 458 nt
Filed under: uncultured bacterium
Lineage: Bacteria
Description: partial 16S ribosomal RNA
Rfam family: Bacterial small subunit ribosomal RNA
Source: RNAcentral
CCUACGGGAGGCAGCAGUGCGGAAUAUUGGUCAAUGGCCGGAAGGCUGAACCAGCCAUGCCGCGUGAAGGUCAGUGCCCUAUGGGCGUUAAACUUCUUUUGUUCGGGAGCAAUAAUGGUCACGUUUGGCCCGACGAUAGUACCGUACGAAUAAGCCUCGGCGCACCCCGUUCCAGCAGCCGCGGUAAUACGGGGGAUGCAAGCGUUAUCCGGAUUUAUUGGGUUUAAAGGGUGCGUAGGCGGACUGUUAAGUCAGCGGUAAAAGCCCGGGGCUCAACCCCGGCGAGACGUUGAAACUGGCUGUCGUGAGAUGGCGAGAGGUAUGCGGAAUGCGCAGUGUAGCGGUGAAAUGCUUAGAUAUUGCGCAGAACUCAGAUUGCGAAGGCAGCAUACCGGCGGCGAUCUGACGCUGAGGCACGAAAGCGUGGGUAUCGAACAGGAUUAGAUACCCCGGUAGUC